This 1392-nucleotide ribosomal RNA is filed under the name Staphylococcus saprophyticus. RNAcentral's name for it is "bacterial SSU rRNA". It matches the Rfam family "Bacterial small subunit ribosomal RNA", at positions 69 to 1443 of the family's 1533-position model. The record is from RNAcentral. Lineage: Bacteria; Bacillati; Bacillota; Bacilli; Caryophanales; Staphylococcaceae.
ACAGAUAAGGAGCUUGCUCCUUUGACGUUAGCGGCGGACGGGUGAGUAACACGUGGGUAACCUACCUAUAAGACUGGGAUAACUUCGGGAAACCGGAGCUAAUACCGGAUAACAUUUGGAACCGCAUGGUUCUAAAGUGAAAGAUGGUUUUGCUAUCACUUAUAGAUGGACCCGCGCCGUAUUAGCUAGUUGGUAAGGUAACGGCUUACCAAGGCGACGAUACGUAGCCGACCUGAGAGGGUGAUCGGCCACACUGGAACUGAGACACGGUCCAGACUCCUACGGGAGGCAGCAGUAGGGAAUCUUCCGCAAUGGGCGAAAGCCUGACGGAGCAACGCCGCGUGAGUGAUGAAGGGUUUCGGCUCGUAAAACUCUGUUAUUAGGGAAGAACAAACGUGUAAGUAACUGUGCACGUCUUGACGGUACCUAAUCAGAAAGCCACGGCUAACUACGUGCCAGCAGCCGCGGUAAUACGUAGGUGGCAAGCGUUAUCCGGAAUUAUUGGGCGUAAAGCGCGCGUAGGCGGUUUCUUAAGUCUGAUGUGAAAGCCCACGGCUCAACCGUGGAGGGUCAUUGGAAACUGGGAAACUUGAGUGCAGAAGAGGAAAGUGGAAUUCCAUGUGUAGCGGUGAAAUGCGCAGAGAUAUGGAGGAACACCAGUGGCGAAGGCGACUUUCUGGUCUGUAACUGACGCUGAUGUGCGAAAGCGUGGGGAUCAAACAGGAUUAGAUACCCUGGUAGUCCACGCCGUAAACGAUGAGUGCUAAGUGUUAGGGGGUUUCCGCCCCUUAGUGCUGCAGCUAACGCAUUAAGCACUCCGCCUGGGGAGUACGACCGCAAGGUUGAAACUCAAAGGAAUUGACGGGGACCCGCACAAGCGGUGGAGCAUGUGGUUUAAUUCGAAGCAACGCGAAGAACCUUACCAAAUCUUGACAUCCUUUGAAAACUCUAGAGAUAGAGCCUUCCCCUUCGGGGGACAAAGUGACAGGUGGUGCAUGGUUGUCGUCAGCUCGUGUCGUGAGAUGUUGGGUUAAGUCCCGCAACGAGCGCAACCCUUAAGCUUAGUUGCCAUCAUUAAGUUGGGCACUCUAGGUUGACUGCCGGUGACAAACCGGAGGAAGGUGGGGAUGACGUCAAAUCAUCAUGCCCCUUAUGAUUUGGGCUACACACGUGCUACAAUGGACAAUACAAAGGGCAGCUAAACCGCGAGGUCAUGCAAAUCCCAUAAAGUUGUUCUCAGUUCGGAUUGUAGUCUGCAACUCGACUACAUGAAGCUGGAAUCGCUAGUAAUCGUAGAUCAGCAUGCUACGGUGAAUACGUUCCCGGGUCUUGUACACACCGCCCGUCACACCACGAGAGUUUGUAACACCCGAAGCCGGUGGAGUAACCAUU